RNAcentral lists this ribosomal RNA (328 nucleotides) under uncultured eukaryote. RNAcentral describes it as "partial 18S ribosomal RNA". It matches the Rfam family "Eukaryotic small subunit ribosomal RNA", at positions 1470 to 1796 of the family's 1831-position model. The record is from RNAcentral.
CCCUUAGAUGUCCUGGGCCGCACGCGCGCUACACUGAUGCAUGCAACGAGUUUAUAACCUUGGCCGAGAGGCCUGGGCAAUCUUGUUAACGUGCAUCGUGAUAGGGAUAGAUUAUUGAAAUUAUUAAUCUUGAACGAGGAAUUCCUAGUAAACGCAGAUCAUCAAUCUGCAUUGAUUACGUCCCUGCCCUUUGUACACACCGCCCGUCGCACCUACCGAUUGGAUGGUCCGGUGAAGCCUCGGGAUUGUGGUUCUUGCCGCUUUAUUGUGGCGUGACCGCGAGAACUUGUCUAAACCUUAUCAUCUAGAGGAAGGUGAAGUCGUAACA